UCACUGCUAUUGGGAUUCGACUAAGCCAUGCGAGUUGAGAGGGUUCGGCCCUCAGCAGACUGCUCAGUAACACGUGGAUAAUCUACCCUUAGGUGGAGGAUAAUCUCGGGAAACUGAGGAUAAUACUCCAUAGAUCUAGGAGGCUGGAAUGCAUCUAGGUUAAAAGCUCCGGCGCCUAAGGAUGAAUCUGCGGACUAUCAGGUUGUAGUCAGGGUAAUGACCUGACUAGCCUAUGACGGAUACGGGUUGUGAGAGCAAUAACCCGGAGACGAUAUCUGAGACACGAUAUCGGGCCCUACGGGGCGCAGCAGGCGCGAAAACUUCACAAUGUGCGAAAGCACGAUGAGGGAAUCCCAAGUGCCAGCUCGUAAGAGUUGGCUGUUUCUUUGUCUAAAAAACAUAGAGAGUAAGAGCUGGGUAAGACGGGUGCCAGCCGCCGCGGUAAUACCUGCAGCUCAAGUGGUGAUCGUUAUUAUUGGGCCUAAAACGUUCGUAGCCUGUUUAGUAAAUGCCUGGGUAAAUCGUGUAGCUUAACUAUACGAAUUCCGGGUAGACUGUUAAACUUGAGACUGGGAGAAGUUAGAGGUACUCCUGGGGUAGAGGUGAAAUUCUGUAAUCCUAGGGGGACCACCAGUGGCGAAGGCGUCUGACUAGAACGAGUCUGACGGUGAGGGACGAAGCCCUGGGUCGCAAACCGGAUUAGAUACCCGGGUAGUCCUGGCCGUAAACGAUGCAUACUAGGUGAUGGCAUGGUCAUGAGCCGUGUCAGUGCCGUAGGGAAACCGUUAAGUAUGCCGCCUGGGAAGUACGGUCGCAAGGCUAAAAC
This 826-nucleotide ribosomal RNA is filed under the name uncultured archaeon. Its description in RNAcentral is "bacterial SSU rRNA". It matches the Rfam family "Archaeal small subunit ribosomal RNA", at positions 24 to 855 of the family's 1478-position model. The record is from RNAcentral.